RNAcentral lists this long non-coding RNA (441 nucleotides) under Cricetulus griseus (Chinese hamster). RNAcentral describes it as "lncRNA (ENSCGRG00015042506.1)". Lineage: Eukaryota; Metazoa; Chordata; Mammalia; Rodentia; Cricetidae. The record is from RNAcentral.
GUUUCUGUGGGUUUCUGCAGCACAGUCUUGGCUCCUUUGCUCAUCCUUCCUCCAUCUCCACAACUUGAUUCCAGGAGUAUGGUUCAGUGCUUAGGUGUGGGUGCCUGUUUCUGCUUCGAACAGCUACUGGAUGAAGACUCUAGGAAUGGCAACCAAGAUGGUGUCCAGAGAAUUGAUCUGAAGCUGUUUUGGAAGACACGUCCAAGAUUCUGGUGAACUUGUUGGCAAUGCUCAGAAGUGUGAGCAGCAUGUAUAUCAGCAACCAUUUCCCACAUUCCUGAUAUUCUGUCCCCUAAUAAGGUCUUUCUCUGGGAUGUUCGAGAGCUACAGGAGAGAAGAAGAAAACUCGAGGAUUUCUACUGCAAAUUCUUAAAAUUUCCAAGCAGGAACAUUCAUAGCAAUUUAGAUUCCUGUCCUACAGUAGUUCACAUCAACUCCAAG